Molecule: non-coding RNA, 25 nt
Filed under: Mus musculus (house mouse)
Lineage: Eukaryota; Metazoa; Chordata; Mammalia; Rodentia; Muridae
Source: RNAcentral
UGACACUCUGUUCUGGUUGUGCUCA